UACAGAGGGUGCGAGCGUUGUCCGGAAUCACUGGGCGUAAAGGGCGCGUAGGCGGUGGCCUAAGCGUGCGGUGAAAGCCCGGGGCUCAACCCCGGGUCGGCCGUGCGAACUGGGUCACUCGAGCACACUAGAGGCGAGUGGAAUUCCGGGUGUAGCGGUGGAAUGCGUAGAGAUCCGGAAGAACACCAGUGGCGAAGGCGGCUCGCUGGGGUGUAGCUGACGCUGAGGCGCGACAGCGUGGGGAGCAAAC
This 250-nucleotide ribosomal RNA is filed under the name uncultured bacterium. Its description in RNAcentral is "partial 16S ribosomal RNA". It matches the Rfam family "Bacterial small subunit ribosomal RNA", at positions 524 to 773 of the family's 1533-position model. The record is from RNAcentral.